CCUACGGGAGGCAGCAGUGAGGAAUAUUGGACAAUGGAUGGAAAUCUGAUCCAGCCAUGCCGCGUGCAGGAAGACGGCCCUAUGGGUUGUAAACUGCUUUUCUACGGGAGCAAUAAGGUCUACGAGUAGACUGAUGAGAGUACCGUAGGAAUAAGCAUCGGCUAACUCCGUGCCAGCAGCCGCGGUAAUACGGAGGAUGCGAGCGUUAUCCGGAUUUAUUGGGUUUAAAGGGUGCGUAGGCGGCUUUUUAAGUCAGCGGUGAAAUUUUGCAGCUUAACUGUAACAGUGCCGUUGAUACUGAGAGGCUAGGAUUUGGUUGCUGUGGGUGGAAUGUGUGGUGUAGCGGUGAAAUGCUUAGAGAUCACACAGAAUAUCGAUUGCGAAGGCAGCUCACAAAGCCAAGAUUGACGCUGAGGCACGAAAGUGUGGGGAUCAAACAGGAUUAGAUACCCUGGUAGUCCACACUGUAAACGAUGAUAACUCGCUGUCGGCGAUACACAGUCGGUGGCCAAGCGAAAGCGAUAAGUUAUCCACCUGGGGAGUACGACCGCAAGGUUGAAACUCAAAGGAAUGAC
This 575-nucleotide ribosomal RNA is filed under the name uncultured Bacteroidota bacterium. Its description in RNAcentral is "bacterial SSU rRNA". It matches the Rfam family "Bacterial small subunit ribosomal RNA", at positions 338 to 914 of the family's 1533-position model. The record is from RNAcentral. Lineage: Bacteria; Pseudomonadati; Bacteroidota.